This 449-nucleotide ribosomal RNA is filed under the name uncultured bacterium. Its description in RNAcentral is "partial 16S ribosomal RNA". It matches the Rfam family "Bacterial small subunit ribosomal RNA", at positions 29 to 523 of the family's 1533-position model. The record is from RNAcentral.
AGCGAACGCUGGCGGCAGGCCUAACACAUGCAAGUCGAACGAACUCUUCGUAGUUAGUGGCGGACGGGUGAGUAACACGUGGGAACGUGCCUUUAGGUUCGGAAUAACUCAGGGAAACUUGUGCAAAGACCGAAUGUGCCCUUCGGGGGAAAGGUUUAUCGCCUUUAGAGCGGCCCGCGGCUGAUUAGCUAGUUGGUGAGGGAAAGGCUCACCAAGGCGACGAUCAGUAGCUGGUCUGAGAGGAUAAUCAGCCAAAUUGGGACUGAGACACGGCCCAAACUCCUACGGGAGGCAGCAGUGGGGAAUCUUGCGCAAUGGGCGAAAGCCUGACGCAUCCAUGCCGCGUGAAUGAUGAAGGUCUUAGGAUUGUAAAAUUCUUUCACCGGGGACGAUAAUGACGGUACCCGGAGAAGAAGCCCCGGCUAACUUCGUGCCAGCCGCCGCCGUAA